GAUGAACGCUGGCGGCGUGCCUAACACAUGCAAGUCGAGCGAACGGACGAGGAGCUUGCUUGUCUGAUGUUAGCGGCGGACGUGAUAGUAACACGUGGAUAACCUACCUAUAAGACUGGGAUAACUUCGGGAAACCGGAGCUAAUACCGGCUAAUAUUUUGAACCGCAGGGUUCAAAAGUGAAAGACGGUCUUGCUGUCACUUAUAGAUGGAGCCGUGCUGCAUUAGCUAGUUGGUAAGGUAACGGCUUACCAAGGCAACGAUGCAUAGCCGACCUGAGAGGGUGAUCGGCCACACUGGAACUGAGACACGGUCCAGACUCCUACGGGAGGCAGCAGUAGGGAAUCUUCCGCAAUGGGCGCAAGCCUGACGGAGCAACGCCGCGUGAGGGAUGAAGGUCUUCGGAUCGUAAAACUCUGUUAUUAGGAAAGAACAGAUGUGUAAGUAACUGUGCACAUCUUGACGGUACCGAAUCAGAAAGCAACGGCUAACUACGUG
Molecule: ribosomal RNA, 497 nt
Filed under: uncultured bacterium
Lineage: Bacteria
Description: partial 16S ribosomal RNA
Rfam family: Bacterial small subunit ribosomal RNA
Source: RNAcentral